UUUCAUCCAAAAAUCGAUUAAUUGAGUGGAAAACUAAUAUUUUAUUUGAAAUCAGCUUCUCAUUUUUGUUGUAAUAGAUUGAGUUUUAUUGAAUUCCAAGUCAAAAUUCUAAGCCGAAUUUUUAUACAAUAAGUCGGUCUUAAAAUGUCGGGCUUAAUUAAUAAAGUAAAACUAGAUAUCUUAUCAAUAGAUGGCUACACUGUUUAGUGGAUCGUCUGCAGUAGAAAUUCAUGGUUCAUCAGAUGUGGCCUAGUUGUUAGGGAUCCGAAAUGUGUUCAGGGGGGUGAAGACGUCAUUUGAACGUGCAGUUCCUAUCCGCAGCCCCCACUCCUACAGUGUGCAAAAAUAGACAGUUGAAAAAAUCUGUUCAUUGUGCUAAUCUGCACAAUGCCGGCUUCGACUAAGCAAUCUUGAAAUGACCUAUCAACGGACUACUCAGUAUUAAAAUACUCUUCCCUUAAGGAAAUUUGCAGCUGUGGACUUUUUAGAUGACUUGUAUCGGAAAUAUUUUCCUGCUUCUUGGAACAAGGAACAUAGGAUGUCUUGAUGCCAACCAAGUGUCAUUGAUUGUAAAAAGUUGUUAAGCAGGAGAAACCUAAAGUUGGAGAAUGAUACAUUUGUUUCCUGUUACUAGUUUUGUAAAACAAAUGUGGGAAUUGAUUCAAAAUCUCAGCUUCCCCGGUAGACACCCAUCCACAAAGCCAUGGGUGAUAGAUGAUAUUCACAGCAGGCAUGACUGCGUUGUAAAUUGGUAUAAAUUUUACAAAGUCAAAUCAGACAGCAGAUUAAGAUCAUGUGUCUACUGUGAAAGAGAUCAUGUGUCUCAACGCAAAUGGCUCUCUCUGUUUGCGACAUCAGACCUCCCAGUGUGUCAUUCUGAUGCAGAGCUCUUGAAAUCAAGUUGAACGUUUUGAAACAUCUCGGGCCAAAGCUGAAGUUUUAGGUCUUUCGGUUUUUUCUGCUUGUAAAACCCUUGAUUAAAACUAAUUGAAGUGCAAUUUAUUGUCUUGUUUGCAGAGGUAUUAGAAAAGUCGUCGCUUUUUGGUUAGUUUCUUCGGACGAAUUUCAGUAGUUGUUGGUUGUAGGAAACAUCCAAAAUAACAUAGACCACGAUGGCAACUCAGGCUAACAAGACAUUCUUUGAGUCGAUCGAAGAACAGAUCAUCGCAGUUCCUCAGUCUAAAUUAUGGUCCUCUUACAUGAUAAAGGAUGACCAACAACUACUGAAAUUCGUCAGAACACUUAAUGACAAUCUGCUUUGGUUAUGCUGCGUAAAUCCGAACAUACCAUUCCCCCCUUUCCCGUCUUUUCAGUACAUGAUCGAAGAAGAACCCGUAUCAUUAGCUGCUUCCUACAUCAGAGCAGAAAUAGAAUACAAUA
This is a long non-coding RNA of Daphnia magna, 1380 nucleotides long. RefSeq lists it as uncharacterized. The record is from RefSeq and is a predicted model, not a curated record. The transcript is spliced from 6 exons. NCBI's taxonomy places the organism in Eukaryota, Metazoa, Arthropoda, Branchiopoda, Diplostraca, Daphniidae.